GAUGAACGCUGGCGGCGUGCCUAAUACAUGCAAGUCGAGCGAACAGACGAGAAGCUUGCUUCUCUGACGUUAGCGGCGGACGGGUGAGUAACACGUGGAUAACCUACCUAUAAGACUGGGAUAACUUCGGGAAACCGGAGCUAAUACCGGAUAAUAUUUUGAACCGCAUGGUUCAAUAGUGAAAGACGGUCUUGCUGUCACUUAUAGAUGGAUCCGCGCUGCAUUAGCUAGUUGGUAAGGUAACGGCUUACCAAGGCAACGAUGCAUAGCCGACCUGAGAGGGUGAUCGGCCACACUGGAACUGAGACACGGUCCAGACUCCUACGGGAGGCAGCAGUAGGGAAUCUUCCGCAAUGGGCGAAAGCCUGACGGAGCAACGCCGCGUGAGUGAUGAAGGUCUUCGGAUCGUAAAACUCUGUUAUUAGGGAAGAACAUAUGUGUAAGUAACUGUGCACGUCUUGACGGUACCUAAUCAGAAAGCCACGGCUAACUACGUG
This 497-nucleotide ribosomal RNA is filed under the name uncultured bacterium. RNAcentral describes it as "partial 16S ribosomal RNA". It matches the Rfam family "Bacterial small subunit ribosomal RNA", at positions 28 to 507 of the family's 1533-position model. The record is from RNAcentral.